GGACCCGCACAAGUAGUGGAGCAUGUGGUUUAAUUCGAAGAUACGCGCAGAACCUUACCAACACUUGACAUGUUCGUCGCGACUUUAAGAGAUUAAAGUUUUUCGGUUCGGCCGGACGAAACACAGGUGCUGCAUGGCUGUCGUCAGCUCGUGUCGUGAGAUGUUGGGUUAAGUCCCGCAACGAGCGCAACCCUCACUUUUAGUUGCCAUCAUUAAGUUGGGCACUCUGAAAGAACUGCCAGUGAUAAGCUGGAGGAAGGUGGGGAUGACGUCAAGUCCUCAUGGCCCUUACGUGUUGGGCUACACACGUGCUACAAUGGUAUUUACAACAGGAAGCAAGACUGCGAAGUUAAGCAAAUCCCUAAAAAAUACCUCAGUUCGGAUUGCACUCUGCAACUCGAGUGCAUGAAGCUGGAAUUACUAGUAAUCGUGGAU
RNAcentral lists this ribosomal RNA (435 nucleotides) under uncultured bacterium. Its description in RNAcentral is "bacterial SSU rRNA". It matches the Rfam family "Bacterial small subunit ribosomal RNA", at positions 917 to 1349 of the family's 1533-position model. The record is from RNAcentral.